GAUGAACGCUGGCGGCGUGCCUAAUACAUGCAAGUCGAGCGAACGGACGAGAAGCUUGCUUCUCUGAUGUUAGCGGCGGACGGGUGAGUAACACGUGGAUAACCUACCUAUAAGACUGGGAUAACUUCGGGAAACCGGAGCUAAUACCGUAUGAUAUUUUGAACCGCAUGGUUCAAUAGUGAAAGACGGUCUUGCUGUCACUUCUAGAUGGAUCCGGGCUGCAUUAGCUAGUUGGUAAGGUAACGGCUUACCAAGGCAACGAUGCAUAGCCGACCUGAGAGAGUGAUCGGCGACACGGGAGCGGGGACACGGUCCAGGCUCCUACGGGAGGCAGCAGUAGGGAAUCGUCCGCAAUGGGCGAAAGCCUGACGGAGCAACGCCGCGUGAGUGAUGAAGGUCUUCGGAUCGUAAAACUCUGUUAUUAGGGAAGAACAGAUGUGUAAGGAACUGUGCACAUCGUGACGGUACCUAAUCAGAAAGCCACGGCUAACUACGUG
RNAcentral lists this ribosomal RNA (497 nucleotides) under uncultured bacterium. RNAcentral describes it as "partial 16S ribosomal RNA". It matches the Rfam family "Bacterial small subunit ribosomal RNA", at positions 28 to 507 of the family's 1533-position model. The record is from RNAcentral.